GGAGGGGAGGGUCCCCAAAAGAACCCACGGCGCCGGAUGGCGUCAAGGAAUACUGAUGUUGCUUGCUUGGGGCUACGCCUAGCCUGCUAGGUGAGCCUUGUGCUGCGAUGUACCUGAAUCCUUAAGACUCUCGGCAACGGAUAUCUUGGCUCUUGCAUCGAUGAAGAACGUAGCAAAAUGCGAUACCUGGUGUGAAUUGCAGAAUCCCGUGAACCAUCGAGUUUUUGAACGCAAGUUGCGCCUGAGGCCUCUUGGUCGAGGGCACGUCUGCCUGGGCGUCACGUCAAAAGACACUCCCUAUCCAUCCUGGUGUGGGGAUGUGGUGUCUGGCCUUCCAUUUCAGUUUAAAGGUAUGGUAGGCUAAAGUAAGAGGCUGCUGGUUAUGUUACCAGUCGCAGCACUUGGUGGAUGACACAUGUUAUUCUCGGAGUUGCGAUGGUACUGCUUCUGGUGAAUUUGCCCCCUAGACCCAUGUAUUGAGCUUCGUGCUUGCAGCGCGACCCCAGGUCAG
Molecule: ribosomal RNA, 511 nt
Filed under: Sporobolus tourneuxii
Lineage: Eukaryota; Viridiplantae; Streptophyta; Magnoliopsida; Poales; Poaceae
Description: eukaryotic LSU rRNA
Rfam family: 5.8S ribosomal RNA (bases 126-281)
Source: RNAcentral